Molecule: ribosomal RNA, 425 nt
Filed under: uncultured bacterium
Lineage: Bacteria
Description: partial 16S ribosomal RNA
Rfam family: Bacterial small subunit ribosomal RNA
Source: RNAcentral
GUUAGGAAUAUUGGACAAUGGGCGCAAGCCUGAUCCAGCCAUGCCGCGUGAGUGAUGAAGGCCUUCGGGUUGUAAAGCUCUUUAGCCGAUGAUUAUAAUGACUGUAGUCGGAAAAUAAGCCCCGGCUAACUUCGUGCCAGCAGCCGCGGUAAUACGAAGGGGGCGAGCGUUAUUCGGAAUCACUGGGCGUAAAGCGUGCGUAGGCGGCUUUGCAAGUUGGGAGUGAAAGCCCAGGGCUCAACCCUGGAAUUGCUCUCAAAACUGCAAGGCUCGAAUUUGGGAGAGGAUAGCGGAAUUGUCAGUGUAGCAGUGAAAUGCGUAGAUAUUGACAGGAACACCAGUGGCGUAAGCGGCUAUCUGGACCGAUAUUGACGCUGAGGCACGAAAGCGUGGGGAUCAAACAGGAUUAGAUACCCGUGUAGUCC